AGCCUUUUUUAACUUUUGACCUCGGAUCAGGUAGGGAUACCCGCUGAACUUAAGCAUAUCAAUAAGCGGAGGAAAAGAAACCAACAGGGAUUGCCCUAGUAACGGCGAGUGAAGCGGCAACAGCUCAAAUUUGA
RNAcentral lists this ribosomal RNA (134 nucleotides) under Phaeosphaeria caricis. RNAcentral describes it as "partial 28S ribosomal RNA". The stretch from base 17 to 134 matches the Rfam family "Eukaryotic large subunit ribosomal RNA", at positions 1 to 118 of the family's 3401-position model. Lineage: Eukaryota; Fungi; Ascomycota; Dothideomycetes; Pleosporales; Phaeosphaeriaceae. The record is from RNAcentral.